AAUGUCUUUUCUAGUUCGUCGA
Molecule: non-coding RNA, 22 nt
Filed under: Arabidopsis thaliana (thale cress)
Lineage: Eukaryota; Viridiplantae; Streptophyta; Magnoliopsida; Brassicales; Brassicaceae
Source: RNAcentral